CACGUGGGCAACCUGCCCUCAGCUCUGGGAUAACUCCGGGAAACCGGGGCUAAUACCGGAUACGACCUCGUCAGGCAUCUGUCGAGGUGGAAAGUUUUUCGGCUGAGGAUGGGCCCGCGGCCUAUCAGCUUGUUGGUGGGGUGACGGCCUACCAAGGCGACGACGGGUAGCCGGCCUGAGAGGGUGACCGGCCACACUGGGACUGAGACACGGCCCAGACUCCUACGGGAGGCAGCAGUGGGGAAUAUUGCGCAAUGGGCGAAAGCCUGACGCAGCGACGCCGCGUGAGGGACGAAGGCC
Molecule: ribosomal RNA, 300 nt
Filed under: uncultured Frankiaceae bacterium
Lineage: Bacteria; Bacillati; Actinomycetota; Actinomycetes; Frankiales; Frankiaceae
Description: bacterial SSU rRNA
Rfam family: Bacterial small subunit ribosomal RNA
Source: RNAcentral